AGCAGCCACGGUAAUACGUAGGUGGCAAGCGUUGUCCGGAAUUAUUGGGCGUAAAGGGCUCGCAGGCGGUUUCUUAAGUCUGAUGUGAAAGCCCCCGGCUCAACCGGGGAGGAUCAUUGGAAACUGGGAAACUUGAGUGCAGAAGAGGAGAGUGGAAUUCCACGUGUAGCGGUGAAAUGCGUAGAGAUGUGGAGGAACACCAGUGGCGAAGGCGACUCUCUGGUCUGUAACUGACGCUGAGGAGCGAAAGCGUGGGGAGCGAACAGGAUUAGAUACCCGCGUAGUCCCUGUCUCUUAUACC
This 301-nucleotide ribosomal RNA is filed under the name uncultured bacterium. RNAcentral's name for it is "partial 16S ribosomal RNA". It matches the Rfam family "Bacterial small subunit ribosomal RNA", at positions 510 to 808 of the family's 1533-position model. The record is from RNAcentral.